Molecule: ribosomal RNA, 289 nt
Filed under: Vibrio sp. B513a
Lineage: Bacteria; Pseudomonadati; Pseudomonadota; Gammaproteobacteria; Vibrionales; Vibrionaceae
Description: partial 23S ribosomal RNA
Rfam family: Bacterial large subunit ribosomal RNA
Source: RNAcentral
CUGCCGUGGGCGUUGGAAGAUUGAAGGGGGCUGCUCCUAGUACGAGAGGACCGGAGUGGACGAACCUCUGGUGUUCGGGUUGUGUCGCCAGACGCAUUGCCCGGUAGCUAAGUUCGGGAUCGAUAACCGCUGAAAGCAUCUAAGCGGGAAGCGAGCCUUGAGAUGAGUUCUCCCUGAUACUUUAAGUAUCCUAAAGGGUUGUCGUAGACUACGACGUUGAUAGGCAGGGUGUGUAAGCGUUGUGAGGCGUUGAGCUAACCUGUACUAAUUGCCCGUGAGGCUUAACCAU